GUCAUGCAGAGGGUAGCCCCAGCAGGUGACAUGACUUUAAGUUCCCAUAUCAUCUAGAGCUUGAGCCUGGCCCUGGGGCUCCAAGGAAGAGUCUUAUGUCACCUCCAGGUGGAUGUCACCAAGAGCCAACAAAGCAUCUUCAGGCACCACGUGUGACUCAGUCAUCGGGGCUGUGAUGGGGCCUGUGACGGGUCCAGCCAGCCUUCCCUUGCCUGGACUGCCCAGCUGCUUCUCCUAGAAGCCUCACUACUCCAGCCCAGGGACCCUAAAGCACUGAGGAGUGGGACCCAGUUCCUUCUACCUGGCUGCUCAAGGCUCCUCCCUGCUGGCCUGUGGUUCCUGCUGCCUCUUCUCUCCACACCCCGUCUACCCUCAGUGGAGGCUGUCUUCUAUGUUGAGUCUUGGAAUCUGUUCCAUCCAGUUUCUUCCUGCACAGAGUCCCUACAGGCCAGCUCUCCGAAGCCACCAUCUUCAUGCACCAGCUGACUCACAAACCAGUGUGUGAUGGGGUCAUGUGGACCCAGUGACCACUGUGGUCUGUGCUGACAGCAUGGGAAGCUGCUGGAGGGUGUCAUCCUGGCAGGAGCACAGUCAGCUCUCCUUCCUUCACUGGGGGAUCUUGUCUCUACUUCAGGAGACUCUGGGACCAGGGAGGUGUGUCUGAGAGACAUUCAGUGGUUGUGGUCACUCCCUAAAGAACUUAUUCCGCAUCACCCACCUUCCAAAGGCUUUGAAAUUUAUUUCAGACUCGAGUUUCUGGAAAAGUGGAAUGGGCCUACUUUUCCCUAUUCCUCUCACUAGGUAUAGCUAAACCCCUAAGAUAUUAUAUUAGAAAACAAAUGCAAGGAGAAACCAAAAGAUGAGGAGAAGGCAGCCGAUGGACCAGGGACCUUGGGACCCCACAAAUAAAAGGCGAGUGACUUUCUUUUCACAUCACAAAUCCCAGACUGAGCAUUAGAGCAGAUGGAAACCCAGAAAUGCCAAGGGGCACAGACAGAAGCCCCAAGAAAGCUGAGCUCUCAUCAACCAAAGCAACAGGCAAGGGUAGUGUAGAAAGGCAAAACUUUCAGGUCAUAGCCAGUGGACUCUGGCAGAUAGCACAGAAAGAACUGUGGUCUCAUCCCAUUCCAGCCUCUCCAGAGAGCAAGUGGAGACUGGGAUUUUCACCCUUACUGCACUGUAAUAAGUCCAACUGUCUCACCAGUGCUGUAAAGACCAGCAGGGUAGCAGGACUUCAUCCCCAGUAGAUGAAAGAGGAU
Molecule: long non-coding RNA, 1259 nt
Filed under: Heterocephalus glaber (naked mole-rat)
Lineage: Eukaryota; Metazoa; Chordata; Mammalia; Rodentia; Bathyergidae
Description: lncRNA (ENSHGLG00000044294.1)
Source: RNAcentral